AUACGGAGGGUGCAAGCGUUACUCGGAAUCACUGGGCGUAAAGGAUUGCGUAGGCUGUAAUAUAAGUCAGAAGUGAAAUCCAACGGCUUAACCGUUGAACUGCUUUUGAAACUGUUUUACUAGAAUAUGGGAGAGGUAGAUGGAAUUGGUGGUGUAGGGGUAAAAUCCGUAGAUAUCACCAGGAAUACCGAUUGCGAAGGCGAUCUACUGGAACAUUAUUGACGCUGAGGCAUGAAAGCGUGGGGAGC
RNAcentral lists this ribosomal RNA (248 nucleotides) under uncultured bacterium. RNAcentral describes it as "partial 16S ribosomal RNA". It matches the Rfam family "Bacterial small subunit ribosomal RNA", at positions 523 to 769 of the family's 1533-position model. The record is from RNAcentral.